GGCACAGUGGUUAAAAUGGUUAAAAUGCCUCUUGGGACAUCUGCAUCCCAUAUCAGAGUACCUGGGUUCAAGUCCCGGCUCUGCUU
Molecule: transfer RNA, 86 nt
Filed under: Oryctolagus cuniculus (rabbit)
Lineage: Eukaryota; Metazoa; Chordata; Mammalia; Lagomorpha; Leporidae
Rfam family: tRNA
About the family: Transfer RNA (tRNA) molecules are approximately 80 nucleotides in length. Their secondary structure includes four short double-helical elements and three loops (D, anti-codon, and T loops). Further hydrogen bonds mediate the characteristic L-shaped molecular structure. tRNAs have two regions of fundamental functional importance: the anti-codon, which is responsible for specific mRNA codon recognition, and the 3' end, to which the tRNAs corresponding amino acid is attached (by aminoacyl-tRNA synthetases). tRNAs cope with the degeneracy of the genetic code in two manners: having more than one tRNA (with a specific anti-codon) for a particular amino acid; and 'wobble' base-pairing, i.e. permitting non-standard base-pairing at the 3rd anti-codon position.
Source: Rfam by way of RNAcentral